RNAcentral lists this small nuclear RNA (353 nucleotides) under Prolemur simus (greater bamboo lemur). RNAcentral describes it as "7SK RNA (ENSPSMG00000011743.1)". It matches the Rfam family "7SK RNA". From Rfam's summary of the family: 7SK was discovered as an abundant small nuclear RNA in the mid-70s but a possible function has only recently been suggested. Two independent studies have found that 7SK RNA binds the CDK9/cyclin T complex (known as elongation factor P-TEFb). The record is from RNAcentral. Lineage: Eukaryota; Metazoa; Chordata; Mammalia; Primates; Lemuridae.
GGGUGUAAGGGCAAUCUGGCUGUGACACCUGUCACCCCACUGAUGGCCAGAGCUGAUUCAGCUGAUCUGGCUCACUAGAUGGGUGUCCCCUUCCUCCCUCAUUGCUCUAUGUGCAUCCCCUCCUGAAGCUGCAUGCUUGGUCAAAGAGGAUGACCUUCCCAGAUAGAGAAGGACCAUUAUUCCAUCAAGGGUAUAGGAGUAGCUGUGCUCCCCUGCUAGAAUCUCCAAACAAGCUCUCAAAGUGAUGUCAAAUAUACCUUUAUCUUGCAUGCGUUGCAACAGAGGUGGAGAAUAUAAAUGCAAACAGUCUUCAGGUUACAGACAACCCAACUGAUGGCAUUCUGUACCUAUGA